Molecule: non-coding RNA, 376 nt
Organism: Schizosaccharomyces pombe (fission yeast)
Lineage: Eukaryota; Fungi; Ascomycota; Schizosaccharomycetes; Schizosaccharomycetales; Schizosaccharomycetaceae
Source: the annotation of a GenBank genome assembly
CUUAGCAACUUCAAAACCUUUCUGGCGUGUACACGUUCGCUUGCAUCUCCACUUUGUUCAAGAACUUGAAGGUGAAGAUCAUCACAACCCAUUAGACCAAUAGUUAACCCAGCAAAUACACCUCCUAACAAAAUCAAAACAGCGCUAAUAAUUAGCUUCAUCCAAUACUCAAAAUCCGAAUCCUUUUCAGCACUAACGAAACCUCCAUCUUGAGAAGGAUUCAUUGCAAUGCCAAUUCCAUCAUUCUGUCUAAACGCCCUUAAAGGAUAUGCAACCGCAUAACUCUGCAAUAAUAUGAAAACUGUUGAAAAGCCAUACAAACUGGCUUUUCGAAUUCUCAAUAGGGACAUACUCUUCCUACCAAAAUCAAUAGAUU